This 253-nucleotide ribosomal RNA is filed under the name uncultured bacterium. Its description in RNAcentral is "partial 16S ribosomal RNA". It matches the Rfam family "Bacterial small subunit ribosomal RNA", at positions 524 to 776 of the family's 1533-position model. The record is from RNAcentral.
UACGAAGGGGGCUAGCGUUGCUCGGAAUCACUGGGCGUAAAGCGCACGUAGGCGGCUUUUUAAGUCAGGGGUGAAAUCCUGGAGCUCAACUCCAGAACUGCCUUUGAUACUGAGAAGCUUGAGUCCGGGAGAGGUGAGUGGAACUGCGAGUGUAGAGGUGAAAUGCGCAGAUAUCAGGAGGAACACCCGUGGCGAAAGCGGCUCUCUGGGACGGUACUGACGCUGAGACGCGAAAGCGUGGGGAGCAAACAGG